AGAGUUUGAUCAUGGCUCAGGAUGAACGCUGGCGGCACGCCUAACACAUGCAAGUCGAACGAGGUUAUUAUGAAUGAAGCCUUCGGGCGGAUUGAAUUUUAACCUAGUGGCGGACGGGUGAGUAACACGUGAGCAAUCUGCCUUUCAGAGCGGGAUACCGUUUGGAAACGAACGUUAAUACCGCAUAAUGCAGCGAAGCCGCAUGACUUUGCUGCCAAAGAUUUUAUCGCUGAAAG
RNAcentral lists this ribosomal RNA (236 nucleotides) under uncultured bacterium. Its description in RNAcentral is "partial 16S ribosomal RNA". It matches the Rfam family "Bacterial small subunit ribosomal RNA", at positions 8 to 224 of the family's 1533-position model. The record is from RNAcentral.